RNAcentral lists this ribosomal RNA (493 nucleotides) under uncultured bacterium. RNAcentral describes it as "partial 16S ribosomal RNA". It matches the Rfam family "Bacterial small subunit ribosomal RNA", at positions 28 to 507 of the family's 1533-position model. The record is from RNAcentral.
GACGAACGCUGGCGGCGCGCUUAACACAUGCAAGUCGAACGGAAAGGCCUGCUUUCCCUUGUGGAUUGCGGGUACUCGAGUGGCGAACGGGUGAGUAACACGUGAGUGAUCUGCCCCCAACUUGGGUAUAAGCCUGGGAAACUGGGUCUAAUUCCGGUAGGACUGGCGGGUUGUUCCUGGGGUUGGAAAACGUUUUCUUAGGGUUGGGGAUGAGCUCGCGGCCUAUCAGGUUGGUGGUGGGGUAAUGGCCUACCAAGGCGGCGACGGGUAGCCGGCCUGAGAGGGUGGACGGCCACAUUGGGACUGAGAUACGGCCCAGACUCCUACGGGAGGCAGCAGUGGGGAAUAUUGCACAAUGGGCGGAAGCCUGAUGCAGCGACGCCGCGUGGGGGAUGACGGCCUUCGGGUUGUAAACUCCUUUCGACCGCGAGGAAGCCACCUGGUUGGAAGGGUGGUGACGGUAGUGGUAGAAGAAGCACCGGCUAACUACGUG